Molecule: ribosomal RNA, 1306 nt
Filed under: uncultured bacterium
Lineage: Bacteria
Description: bacterial SSU rRNA
Rfam family: Bacterial small subunit ribosomal RNA
Source: RNAcentral
AACGUACGCUGGCGGCACGCCUAACACAUGCAAGUCGAACGAAGUAGCAAUACUUAGUGGCAGACGGGUGAGUAACAUGUAGGUAUCUGCCCUUUGGCCUGGAAUAACACGAGGAAACUUGUGCUAAUACCGGAUAAGUCUUUACGGAGAAAGCUUUAUGCACCAUUGGAUGAGCCUGCACUUGAUUAGUUUGUUGGUGGGGUAAUGGCCUACCAAGACUGUGAUCAAUAGCUGAUUUGAGAGGAUGAUCAGCCACAUUGGGACUGAGACACGGCCCAAACUCCUACGGGAGGCAGCAGUGGGGAAUCUUGCACAAUGGAGGAAACUCUGAUGCAGCGAUGCCGCGUGAGUGAAGAAGGCCCUUGGGUUGUAAAGCUCUUUCGUCGGGGAAGAAAAUGACUGUACCCGAAUAAGAAGGUCCGGCUAACUUCGUGCCAGCAGCCGCGGUAAUACGAAGGGACCUAGCGUAGUUCGGAAUUACUGGGCUUAAAGAGUUCGUAGGUGGUUGAAAAAGUUAGUGGUGAAAUCCCAGAGCUUAACUCUGGAACUGCCAUUAAAACUUUUCAGCUAGAGUAUGAUAGAGGAAAGCAGAAUUUCUAGUGUAGAGGUGAAAUUCGUAGAUAUUAGAAAGAAUACCAAUUGCGAAGGCAGCUUUCUGGAUCAUUACUGACACUGAGGAACGAAAGCAUGGGUAGCGAAGAGGAUUAGAUACCCUCGUAGUCCAUGCCGUAAACGAUGUGUGUUAGACGUUGGAAAUUUAUUUUCAGUGUCGCAGGGAAACCGAUAAACACACCGCCUGGGGAGUACGACCGCAAGGUUAAAACUCAAAUGAAUUGACGGGGACCCGCACAAGUAGUGGAGCAUGUGGUUUAAUUCGAAGAUACGCGCAGAACCUUACCAACACUUGACAUGUUCGUCGCGACUCUAAGAGAUUAGAGUUUUCGGUUCGGCCGGACGAAACACAGGUGCUGCAUGGCUGUCGUCAGCUCGUGUCGUGAGAUGUUGGGUUAAGUCCCGCAACGAGCGCAACCCUCACUUUUAGUUGCCAUCAUUAAGUUGGGCACUCUGAAAGAACUGCCAGUGAUAAGCUGGAGGAAGGUGGGGAUGACGUCAAGUCCUCAUGGCCCUUACGUGUUGGGCUACACACGUGCUACAAUGGUAUCUACAACAGGAAGCAAAACUGCGAAGUUAAGCAAAUCCCUAAAAGAUACCUCAGUUCGGAUUGCACUCUGCAACUCGAGUGCAUGAAGCUGGAAUUACUAGUAAUCGUGGAUCAGCGUGCCACGGUGAAUGCGUUCCCGGGUCU